Molecule: ribosomal RNA, 494 nt
Filed under: uncultured bacterium
Lineage: Bacteria
Description: partial 16S ribosomal RNA
Rfam family: Bacterial small subunit ribosomal RNA
Source: RNAcentral
ACUCAAAGGAAUAGACGGGGACCCGCACAAGCGGUGGAUGAUGUGGAUUAAUUCGAUGCAACGCGAAAAACCUUACCUACCCUUGACAUGGCAGAAACCUCCGAGAGAUUGGAGGGUGCUCGAAAGAGAAUCUGCACACAGGUGCUGCAUGGCUGUCGUCAGCUCGUGUCGUGAGAUGUUGGGUUAAGUCCCGCAACGAGCGCAACCCUUGUCAUUAGUUGCUACGAAAGGGCACUCUAAUGAGACUGCCGGUGACAAACCGGAGGAAGGUGGGGAUGACGUCAAGUCCUCAUGGCCCUUAUGGGUAGGGCUUCACACGUCAUACAAUGGUACAUACAGAGGGCCGCCAACCCGCGAGGGGGAGCUAAUCCCAGAAAGUGUAUCGUAGUCCGGAUUGUAGUCUGCAACUCGACUGCAUGAAGUUGGAAUCGCUAGUAAUCGCGGAUCAGCAUGUCGCGGUGAAUACGUUCCCGGGUCUUGUACACACCGCCCGU